This 66-nucleotide transfer RNA is filed under the name Pseudomegarcys japonica. RNAcentral describes it as "tRNA-Phe". Lineage: Eukaryota; Metazoa; Arthropoda; Insecta; Plecoptera; Perlodidae. The record is from RNAcentral.
ACUUAAGUAGCUCAUAUGAGAGCAUGACAUUGAAGCUGUUAGGGAGGUUAUUGUAACCCUUAAGUA